AGAGUUUGAUCCUGGCUCAGGAUGAACGCUGGCGGCGUGCUUAACACAUGCAAGUCGAACGAACCUUCGGGUUAGUGGCGGACGGGUGAGUAACGCGUGAGAAUCUGCCCUCAGGAGGGGGAUAACGGUUGGAAACGACCGCUAAUACCCCAUAUGCCUACUGGUGAAAUGAAUUUCGCCUGAGGAUGAGCUCGCGUCUGAUUAGCUAGUUGGUGAGGUAAUGGCUCACCAAGGCUUCGAUCAGUAGCUGGUCUGAGAGGAUGAUCAGCCACACUGGGACUGAGACACGGCCCAGACUCCUACGGGAGGCAGCAGUGGGGAAUUUUCCGCAAUGGGCGAAAGCCUGACGGAGCAACGCCGCGUGAGGGACGAAGGCCUCUGGGCUGUAAACCUCUUUUCUCAAGGAAGAAGAUAUGACGGUACUUGAGGAAUAAGCCACGGCUAAUUCCGUGCCAGCAGCCGCGGUAAUACGGGAGUGGCAAGCGUUAUCCGGAAUUAUUGGGCGUAAAGCGUCCGCAGGCGGCUUUUCAAGUCUGCUGUUAAAGCGUGGAGCUUAACUCCAUCAUGGCAGUGGAAACUGAAAGGCUUGAGUAUGGUAGGGGCAGAGGGAAUUCCCGGUGUAGCGGUGAAAUGCGUAGAUAUCGGGAAGAACACCAGUGGCGAAGGCGCUCUGCUGGGCCAUUACUGACGCUCAUGGACGAAAGCCAGGGGAGCGAAAGGGAUUAGAUACCCCUGUAGUCCUGGCCGUAAACGAUGAACACUAGGUGUCGGGGGAAUCGACCUCUUCGGUGUCGUAGCUAACGCGUUAAGUGUUCCGCCUGGGGAGUACGC
Molecule: ribosomal RNA, 831 nt
Filed under: marine metagenome
Description: bacterial SSU rRNA
Rfam family: Bacterial small subunit ribosomal RNA
Source: RNAcentral